UGGCGGUUCUCCGAUUCGAGCAGGGUUCGACCAGUGGUGAGAGAUUUAUUUGAAGAAAAUCCCCAACUGGACGCAAACCACGACUGAAGACGAGGGAACAGCAACAAGUGAACCAGCCCGAGGACUGAGAGCACCGACUGGAGAGAACCCAUCUGACUCGCAGAUUCCAGUGAUUCAGUCAGGAGAAAGUUUGAUCUCAACUUUCUGCAGAUUCCUCCAAAGUGAAGGCUUUUUUUUACAUAAGAUUAAAUUUCCUCAAAUUACUGUUGAAGAUCAACAGAUGCCUGAUGCACCAGUUAUUGAGCAUUUAAUUCAGAAAACUAUGUUGUUAAUGCAGUCAGGUCAAGCUCCUGGACUUGAUGUGUAUUUGGUAGGAUUUUACAUAAAAAUUGAAAGGUUACUUUCUCGUUACCUGUUGGAAAUAUUUCAUGAAUCCUUUGAGAAGGGUAGUUUACCUUUUUAUGAAGCUUCUAUUUCUUUAAUCCUUAAGAAAGAUAAAAAUCCUACUGAACGUUCAUCAUAUAGACCUAUUUCGUUAUUAAAUGUGGAUUUGAAAACUCUCUCUAAGAUAAUGGCUAACCACUUGGAAAAUAUUUCAACUAAAAUUAUCUCGAUGGAGCCAACAGGCUUUAUUAAAGGUCGUUACUGUUUCUCCAGUGUUCGGAGAUUGAUGAACAUUAUAUAUUCAUCACUAUCUAAGGAACCCCAAUGUGUUAACUCUUUCGAUGCAGGACAGGCAUUUGAUAGAGUUGAGUGGUCAUAUUUGUUUAAAAUUUUAGGAAAAAAUUGGUUUUGGUAAUAAUUUCAACAGGUGGAUUCAAAUGAUUUAUGAGAAUCCUAUUGCCACAGUUAUUACUAAUAAUUUCAGGUCCUUUUUUUUCCCACUUUCAGUGGCACAAGACAGGGUUUUCCAUUAAGCCCUUCAUUAUUUAAUCUUGUACUGGAGCCUUUGGCCAUAAAACUCCGUGAAGCUAAAAAUAUUCAUGGUAUUUCUAUG
Hypanus sabinus (Atlantic stingray) is the source of this 997-nucleotide long non-coding RNA. RefSeq lists it as uncharacterized. The transcript is spliced from 3 exons. Lineage: Eukaryota; Metazoa; Chordata; Chondrichthyes; Myliobatiformes; Dasyatidae. The record is from RefSeq and is a predicted model, not a curated record.